RNAcentral lists this ribosomal RNA (245 nucleotides) under uncultured Desulfuromonas sp. RNAcentral's name for it is "partial 16S ribosomal RNA". It matches the Rfam family "Bacterial small subunit ribosomal RNA", at positions 524 to 768 of the family's 1533-position model. The record is from RNAcentral. Lineage: Bacteria; Pseudomonadati; Thermodesulfobacteriota; Desulfuromonadia; Desulfuromonadales; Desulfuromonadaceae.
UACGGAGGGUGCAAGCGUUGUUCGGAAUUAUUGGGCGUAAAGCGCGUGUAGGCGGCUAUUUAAGUCUGAUGUGAAAGUUUGGGGCUCAACCUUGGAAGUGCAUUGGAAACUGGAUAGCUUGAGUAUGGGAGAGGGUAGUGGAAUUUCGAGUGUAGGGGUGAAAUUUGUAGAUAUUUGAAGGAACACUGGUGGCGAAGGCGGCUACUUGGAUUGAUACUGACGCUGAGACGCGAAAGCGUGGGGAG